This 1277-nucleotide non-coding RNA is filed under the name Clostridiales bacterium KLE1615. RNAcentral's name for it is "Bacterial large subunit ribosomal RNA". It matches the Rfam family "Bacterial large subunit ribosomal RNA", at positions 370 to 1670 of the family's 2925-position model. The record is from Rfam by way of RNAcentral. Lineage: Bacteria; Bacillati; Bacillota; Clostridia; Eubacteriales.
GCCCCGUAUGGGAAAACAAAGAGAGACGAGCAGUAUCCAAAGUACCACGAGACACGAGAAACCUUGUGGGAAGUCGGGGGGACCACCCCCCAAGGCUAAAUACUCCUUAGUGACCGAUAGCGCAUAGUACUGUGAAGGAAAGGUGAAAAGGACCCCGGGAGGGGAGUGAAAGAGAACCUGAAACCCUAUGUUUACAAGCUGUGGGAGCGCGCAAGCGCAACCGCGUACUUUUUGUAGAACGGUCCGGCGAGUUGCCGGUGCUGGCAAGGUUAAGCGAUCAAGUCGUGGAGCCGCAGGGAAACCAAGCCUAAAUAGGGCCAAAGUCAGCACAGGCAGACCCGAAACCGGGUGAUCUACCCAUGUCCAGGAUGAAGCGGGAGUAAAAUCCCGUGGAGGUCCGAACGCACAUCCGUUGAAAAGGGUGGCGAUGAGGUGUGGGUAGGGGAGAAAUUCCAAUCGAACCCGGAGAUAGCUGGUUCUCCUCGAAAUAGCUUUAGGGCUAGCCUCGGUGCAAUCUGCUGGAGGUAGGGCACUGAAUUCCCGCGGGGGCGUCAAAGCCUACCAAAGGAUAUCAAACUGCGAAUGCCAGACAGAUGGUCACCGGGAGUCAGACCACACGAGAUAAGUUGGGUGGUCAAAAGGGAAAGAGCCCAGACCUGCAGCUAAGGUCCCAAAGUGCGUGUUAAGUGGAAAAGGAUGUGGGAUCUCGAAGACAACUAGGAUGUUGGCUCAGAAGCAGCCAUACAUUCAAAGAGUGCGUAAUAGCUCACUAGUCGAGAGGUCCUGCGCCGAAAAUGAACCGGGGCUAAACACGACACCGAAGCUCAGGAAUCCGAAAGGAUUGGUAGAGGAGCAUUGCUGAAGCGACGAAGCAGUACCGAAAGGAGCUGUGGAGUUUCAGGAAGAGAGAAUGCCGGAAUGAGUAGCGAGAGAAAGGUGAGAAUCCUUUCGGCCGAAUAUCCAAGGUUUCCAGGGUAAAGCUGAUCUGCCCUGGGUAAGUCGGGGCCUAAGGCGAGGCAGAAAUGCGUAGUCGAUGGACAGCAGGUUGAGAUUCCUGCACCCGUAAUGAACAGAACUGUAGUGACACGGAAGGUAAGACAGAGCCGGGAAUGAGAAAACCGGUGCAAGCACAAUAGAUGUGCGGGAGGAAAAACCCCCGCAUAAGUCGAAGGUGUGAUGCGGACCGAAAAAGAGUAGGGAAGCUGUUAAGCAAGCCGUCAAGAAAAGCUGCUAUUGUUUCAUUAUGGCCCGUACCGUAAACCGACACAGGUGGAUGG